RNAcentral lists this ribosomal RNA (523 nucleotides) under uncultured bacterium. Its description in RNAcentral is "bacterial SSU rRNA". It matches the Rfam family "Bacterial small subunit ribosomal RNA", at positions 791 to 1319 of the family's 1533-position model. The record is from RNAcentral.
UAGUCCACGCCCUAAACGAUGCUUACUCGAUGUUUGGUUUUAGGACUGAGCAUCCAAGGGAAACCAUUAAGUAAGCCACCUGGGGAGUACGUUCGCAAGAAUGAAACUCAAAGGAAUUGACGGGGGUCCGCACAAGCGGUGGAGUAUGUGGUUUAAUUUCGAUGAUACGCGAGGAACCUUACCUAGGCUAUAAUGUGAGCGCCCGGUCCUGAAAGGGACCUUUCUUUCGGAACGCGAAACAAGGUGCUGCAUGGUUGUCGUCAGCUCGUGCCGUGAGGUGUUGGGUUAAGUCCCGCAACGAGCGCAACCCCUAUCUUUAGUUGCUAACAUUAAGUUGAGGACUCUAGAGAGACUGCCGGCGUAAGCCGCGAGGAAGGUGGGGACGACGUCAAAUCAUCAUGGCCUUUAUGCCUAGGGCAACACACGUGCUACAAUGGCAGGUACAGAGGGUUGCGAAGGGGUGACCUGGAGCUAAUCUCAGAAAGCCUAUCCCAGUUCGGAUUGGAGUCUGCAACUCGACUCC